This 2203-nucleotide long non-coding RNA is filed under the name Helianthus annuus (common sunflower). RNAcentral describes it as "hypothetical non coding rna". Lineage: Eukaryota; Viridiplantae; Streptophyta; Magnoliopsida; Asterales; Asteraceae. The record is from RNAcentral.
UUGAAUCUGGCUUCUCUCAUACGCUAUACUCUCUCUCUCAUUCUCUCAUAACCCUAAUUCAACUUGGCUUCUAUGUUACGCUUUCUCUCAACUCUCUCUCUCUCAUUCUCACAAAAGUCUCCAAACGAUUGCUGCGAAACCCUAACCGGCGAUUCGUAUAGUCAUCAACCCUAAUCGGCGAUUCCUCUAAGCAUGGAGUGGUUGUGUCUAGCGGCGGUGGUUGUGUCUAGCGGCGGCAGUGGUGGUCUAAUGUUGAUGGUGGAGGAGUUGCGGCGGCGGUGGUUUUGUGAUGUUGAAGGAAGAUGCAAAUGGUGGAGAAGUUUAUCCAAUUCUUCAGGUUGGGAGAUGAGUUCAGGUCAUAUGCAUAAAGAGAGAGAUGUGAGAUCAGGGAGAUCUCUAUAGCCCGCUGACCGGUGUAAGGCUACUCAAGACAAGUGUGAGAAAGUUGUGCAGGAUGCUCUAUCAGAUGAAGAUGAUUCAUGUGAUGUGCACAUUUUAAAAGCAACAUUUAGAUGUGGUUUUAUGGGUAUUGUUUAAAAGAAAUCUCUAUUUUUUUUGUUACAAACAGUAGCAUCUAAGGCACAGAACUUGACACCACUAGGAUUUAGUUGUGAGUGUUGUAUAUAUAUAUAUAUAUAUAUAUAUAUAUAUAUAUAUAUAUAUAUAUAUAUAUAUAUAUAUAUAUUGCAGGGUCAUGAUAGGAAUAGCAAAACAGGGUAUUCAGUCCUCCUACUGACCUUAUUUUUCUUGGAGGUUUACCUCACUGGUUUUGUACCUUAUACUGUAAAGUUUCUCAAUUUUAUACUUCUUUGUGGAUGUAUGCGUAUUACUGCUUUGAGUAUGUGUCGAUUACAUGGCUACCGUUUGUUUAAAUUUAGAGGUGGCGUAAUGGUGGGUCUGGUAAUGGGUGAAACUGUUUGUGGGUUGGGUUGAUCUGGAAGGACCGGAACACUAUUUGUUUUUGUUCAAAUUUGUUGUAAUUUUUUUAUAAAGAGUUCGUGUGACAAAAAAGAUUACAAAAAUUAUCUUAUUCUAAUAAUAACUAACUUUGACCUGUUUUCUUUUAAACUAGCCUUUUAUAAAUCCUUUUGAAUCGAUUAAAACAUAACAUGAAUUGACCCGUUCAGAGGUAAAUAGAUUGAAAUUGCCACCUCUACCGUACUAAUUAUACCUUACCACAUAUCAUCUCAUUGUAGCUUUUCAAUUUCAUAGGUACAAAUGGAACUUCUCUGGCCUGAGUUUGGAUAAAAGGCUUGACUUUUUUGAGUCAAACUGGGCGUUUUUCGCUGGUUUCGAUCUCCUUGUGUUCUGGCCAGUUUCUUUUUUUUCUCCUUUAGUGAGUUAUGGAGUAAUGGCAGUACUCUUUCCAAUGUGUAGUUGAUGCACAUAAAACAAAAUGGAGAGGUGAAGAAUUGAGAAAGCUUCCUAUAUUUUACGCUGCAUAUAAGUUACGGCACUUUAAAGGAGACGUUUAUCGAUUCCCAACUUUGGUUAGACUUCGACUGUGAAUCUGAUUUGAUGAGUGUUAAUGGAGGUUUAAAAGAACGGAAACAAGUUUUAAGGCGUUUUCCCUUCGUCUCAUGAGGCGUAACCUCGAGGUGAACCGAGGCGGAUUACUCUCUUCGCCUCACGAAGCGUCAUUAUUUUGGUUUAACUUUUCUAUGGUUUAGCUUUCUGGAAUCUGAAUAAGGUUGGUUGAGUCUGACAAAAAAAGAAGGAUAUUGGCUAUAGUCAUUUGCCACAUGAUUAAGGAGGAGCCGGUUGACCAUCUCUUCGUGUCUUGCCACUUCGCCUCAAGGUGUUUGGGAUUGGGUUGCAAGCUGGUGCUAUCUAACUGGGCUGUAUAUGUUUGAAAGCAAAGAUUUGGUCGGAUAUCAUUGCCAUGCGAGUGGGUCGACAAAAUGAAAAAAAUGGUGUACACUAUAAUGCAGACUGGAAUGUGGAUUAUAUGGCGUUAUCGAAACAACUUAGCAUUCAACCAGAAGUUUUAUGGUUUGAGAAAUGUGUCGAAAUAGGUAUUGGCUUUUUAAAAUAGUUUACACUGUAAUGCAUUAGUUCUUACGUAAUAAAAAAUUGAUAAAUAUGAUAUGAGUGUGUUGGUGGUCUGUAUCUUUGGCGUAUGUUUGGUUAAAAGAUUUUUCUGCAUUUGGGGUCUAUUGUUUCCUUAGCUGCUGGCUAAGGGACUUCUUUUGGUUUCUUUAUA